GACGAACGCUGGCGGCGUGCCUAAUACAUGCAAGUUGAGCGAUGAAGAUUGGUGCUUGCACCAAUUUGAAGAGCAGCGAACGGGUGAGUAACGCGUGGGGAAUCUGCCUUUGAGCGGGGGACAACAUUUGGAAACGAAUGCUAAUACCGCAUAAUAACUUUAAACAUAAGUUUUAAGUUUGAAAGAUGCAAUUGCAUCACUCAAAGAUGAUCCCGCGUUGUAUUAGCUAGUUGGUGAGGUAAAGGCUCACCAAGGCGAUGAUACAUAGCCGACCUGAGAGGGUGAUCGGCCACAUUGGGACUGAGACACGGCCCAAACUCCUACGGGAGGCAGCAGUAGGGAAUCUUCGGCAAUGGACGAACGUCUGACCGAGCAACGCCGCGUGAGUGAAGAAGGUUUUCGGAUCGUAAAACUCUGUUGGUAGAGAAGAACGUUGGUGAGAGUGGAAAGCUCAUCAAGUGACGGUAACUACCCAGAAAGGGACGGCUAACUACGUG
Molecule: ribosomal RNA, 497 nt
Filed under: uncultured bacterium
Lineage: Bacteria
Description: partial 16S ribosomal RNA
Rfam family: Bacterial small subunit ribosomal RNA
Source: RNAcentral